RNAcentral lists this ribosomal RNA (740 nucleotides) under Caulobacter flavus. Its description in RNAcentral is "bacterial SSU rRNA". It matches the Rfam family "Bacterial small subunit ribosomal RNA", at positions 88 to 864 of the family's 1533-position model. The record is from RNAcentral. Lineage: Bacteria; Pseudomonadati; Pseudomonadota; Alphaproteobacteria; Caulobacterales; Caulobacteraceae.
GGGAUUAGUGGCGGACGGGUGAGUAACACGUGGGAACGUGCCCUUUGGUUCGGAACAACUCAGGGAAACUUGAGCUAAUACCGGAUGUGCCCUUCGGGGGAAAGAUUUAUCGCCAUUGGAGCGGCCCGCGUCUGAUUAGCUAGUUGGUGAGGUAAAGGCUCACCAAGGCGACGAUCAGUAGCUGGUCUGAGAGGAUGAUCAGCCACAUUGGGACUGAGACACGGCCCAAACUCCUACGGGAGGCAGCAGUGGGGAAUCUUGCGCAAUGGGCGAAAGCCUGACGCAGCCAUGCCGCGUGAAUGAUGAAGGUCUUAGGAUUGUAAAAUUCUUUCACCGGGGACGAUAAUGACGGUACCCGGAGAAGAAGCCCCGGCUAACUUCGUGCCAGCAGCCGCGGUAAUACGAAGGGGGCUAGCGUUGCUCGGAAUUACUGGGCGUAAAGGGAGCGUAGGCGGACUGUUUAGUCAGAGGUGAAAGCCCAGGGCUCAACCUUGGAAUUGCCUUUGAUACUGGCAGUCUUGAGUACGGAAGAGGUAUGUGGAACUCCGAGUGUAGAGGUGAAAUUCGUAGAUAUUCGGAAGAACACCAGUGGCGAAGGCGACAUACUGGUCCGUUACUGACGCUGAGGCUCGAAAGCGUGGGGAGCAAACAGGAUUAGAUACCCUGGUAGUCCACGCUGUAAACGAUGAGUGCUAGUUGUCGGCAGGCAUGCCUGUCGGUGACGCAGCUAACGCAUUAAG